RNAcentral lists this ribosomal RNA (427 nucleotides) under uncultured Bacillota bacterium. Its description in RNAcentral is "bacterial SSU rRNA". It matches the Rfam family "Bacterial small subunit ribosomal RNA", at positions 958 to 1383 of the family's 1533-position model. Lineage: Bacteria; Bacillati; Bacillota. The record is from RNAcentral.
AACGCGAAGAACCUUACCAGGUCUUGACAUCCCUCUGAAUACGUUAGAGAUAGCGUAGGCCUUCGGGACAGAGGAGACAGGUGGUGCAUGGUUGUCGUCAGCUCGUGUCGUGAGAUGUUGGGUUAAGUCCCGCAACGAGCGCAACCCUUGAAUUCAGUUGCCAGCAGGUAAGGCUGGGCACUCUGAAUUGACUGCCGGUGACAAACCGGAGGAAGGUGGGGAUGACGUCAAAUCAUCAUGCCCCUUAUGACCUGGGCUACACACGUACUACAAUGGUCGGUACAACGGGAAGCGAAGCCGCGAGGUGGAGCCAAUCCUAGAAAAGCCGGUCUCAGUUCGGAUUGCAGGCUGCAACUCGCCUGCAUGAAGUCGGAAUUGCUAGUAAUCGCGGAUCAGCAUGCCGCGGUGAAUACGUUCCCGGGCCUUG